AGUGAACGCUGGCGGUAGGCCUAACACAUGCAAGUCGAACGGCAGCACAGUAAGAGCUUGCUCUUACGGGUGGCGAGUGGCGGACGGGUGAGGAAUACAUCGGAAUCUACUUUUUCGUGGGUGAUAACGCAGGGAAACUUACGCUAAUACCGCAUACGACCUACGUGUGAAAGCAGGGGAUCUUCGGACCUUGCGCGAUUGCAUGAGCCGAUGUCGGAUUAGCUAGUUGGCGGGGUAAAGGCCCACCAAGGCGACGAUCCGUAGCUGGUCUGAGGGGAUGAUCAGCCACACUGGAACUGAGAAACGGUCCAGACUCCUACGGGAGGCAGCAGUGGGGAAUAUUGGACAAUGGGCGCAAGCCUGAUCCAGCCAUACCGCGUGGGUGAAGAAGGCCUUCGGGUUGUAAAGCCCUUUUGUUGGGAAAGAAAAGCAGCAGGUUAAUACCCCGCUGUUCUGACGGUACCCAAAGAAUAAGCACCGGCUAACUUCGUG
This 492-nucleotide ribosomal RNA is filed under the name uncultured bacterium. RNAcentral describes it as "partial 16S ribosomal RNA". It matches the Rfam family "Bacterial small subunit ribosomal RNA", at positions 29 to 507 of the family's 1533-position model. The record is from RNAcentral.